GUAGGUGGCAAGCGUUAUCCGGAUCUACUGGGUGUAAAGGGAGCGCAGGCGGUGCGGCAAGUCUGAUGUGAAAGCCCGGGGCUCAACCCCGGUACUGCAUUGGAAACUGUCGUACUAGAGUGUCGGAGGGGUAAGCGGAAUUCCUAGUGUAGCGGUGAAAUGCGUAGAUAUUAGGAGGAACACCAGUGGCGAAGGCGGCUUACUGGACGAUAACUGACGCUGAGGCUCGAAAGCGUGGGGAGCAAACAGGAUUAGAUACCCUGGUAGUCCACGCCGUAAACGAUGAGUGCUAGGUGUCGGGGAGGAAUCCUCGGUGCCGCAGCUAACGCAAUAAGCACUCCACCUGGGGAGU
Molecule: ribosomal RNA, 352 nt
Filed under: uncultured bacterium
Lineage: Bacteria
Description: bacterial SSU rRNA
Rfam family: Bacterial small subunit ribosomal RNA
Source: RNAcentral